Photinus pyralis (common eastern firefly) is the source of this 136-nucleotide long non-coding RNA. RefSeq lists it as uncharacterized. The transcript is spliced from 3 exons. The record is from RefSeq and is a predicted model, not a curated record. Lineage: Eukaryota; Metazoa; Arthropoda; Insecta; Coleoptera; Lampyridae.
CCAAUUUGUACUAAAUUGUUCGAUUCUUAUGAUGCUGCUUAUAGGGCAGAAUCUGUUUUAUUGGAAAAAUCUGACUUAGAAUCAACCGACAUAGAAGCGAUCAACAACCCCACACAGUGCUAGAGAUGAAAGUGAG